GGCUCGGUAGCGCAACGGUAGCGCAUCUAUCUCUGAGACAGAAAGUUCUCGGUUCGACUCCGAGUCGAGCUA
RNAcentral lists this transfer RNA (72 nucleotides) under Stereum hirsutum FP-91666 SS1. Its description in RNAcentral is "tRNA-Gln (CTG) (tRNA-Gln-CTG-9-1)". It matches the Rfam family "tRNA". From Rfam's summary of the family: Transfer RNA (tRNA) molecules are approximately 80 nucleotides in length. Their secondary structure includes four short double-helical elements and three loops (D, anti-codon, and T loops). The record is from RNAcentral. Lineage: Eukaryota; Fungi; Basidiomycota; Agaricomycetes; Russulales; Stereaceae.